Molecule: ribosomal RNA, 406 nt
Filed under: uncultured bacterium
Lineage: Bacteria
Description: partial 16S ribosomal RNA
Rfam family: Bacterial small subunit ribosomal RNA
Source: RNAcentral
AUUGAACGCUGGCGGCAGGCCUAACACAUGCAAGUCGAGCGAGUGGCGGACGGGUGCGUAAUGUCUGGGAAACUGCCUGAUGGAGGGGGAUAACUACUAGAAACGGUAGCUAAUACCUCAUACUAUCGGAUGUGCCCAGAUGGGAUUAGCUAGUAGGUGGGGUAAAGGGUCACCUAGGCGACGAUCCCUAGCUGGUCUGAGAGGAUGACCAGCCACACUGGAACUGAGACACGGUCCAGACUCCGACGGGAGGCAGCAGUGGGGAAUAUUGCACAAUGGGCGCAAGCCUGAUGCAGCCAUGCCGCGUGUAUGAAGAAGGCCUUAGGGUUGUAAAGUACUUUCAGCGGGGAGGCGUUACCCGCAGAAGAAGCACCGGCUAACUCCGUGCCAGCAGCCGCGGUAAUAC